Molecule: ribosomal RNA, 254 nt
Filed under: uncultured bacterium
Lineage: Bacteria
Description: partial 16S ribosomal RNA
Rfam family: Bacterial small subunit ribosomal RNA
Source: RNAcentral
CACGUAGGGCGCAAGCGUUGUCCGGAAUUAUUGGGCGUAAAGAGCUCGUAGGCGGUCUGUUGCGUCCGCUGUGAAAACUCGGGGCUUAACCCCGAGCCUGCAGUGGAUACGGGCAGACUAGAGGUAGGUAGGGGAGAAUGGAAUUCCCGGUGUAGCGGUGAAAUGCGCAGAUAUCGGGAGGAACACCGGUGGCGAAGGCGGUUCUCUGGGCCUUACCUGACGCUGAGGAGCGAAAAGCGUGGGGAGCGAACAGG